AAGAAUUUCCAGCAUCCGAGCUGGAUGGAAAGCAGACACGUAGGACGGAAGGAAGUCACGCUUGUGGCCAGCUUGAAAGAGCUUUUCCAGGCGCGAACCGGUGUUAGUUGGUGCACCGAUGCGGCACAGGAAAUGGCCCAGCUUAUAACCCCUUACAUGGAUGGUCUCUUCGCCGAUGGAUUGCUUGAGAAGAUCGUCGAUCUCUUGGGGGAACCAAGGAGCUGAUUUAUUAUGUGUUGACGAACAAUCGAGCACUUGGGCCACCGAAACAUCAUCGGCAAGUAUUGGACUUGUUCGAGAAUAUUCGGCCGCUCCAAGUGAACUGCCGUGGGGAACAAUUUAUUGUGAAGAAAACUCCCCACCCGGUUUCCACAUUCUGCUACAAAUCAACACCAAAUCCGACUUCCUUAGUCUGCUUCUGCACAUCAUCGACAAAGCCUGUUCCCUGACACCUUCCCACCGUUUCCCGGACGCAAAAAUAUUGAGAAGACCUCCCUGUGUGCGCUACAGAUCCUGCACCGGGCUCUCAAAACACAGGAUGGUGAAUUUUUGGGCUUCGAAGCAGCCAAAAACUGACACGUAGCAGUCGGAAAUGGUGUUUUACUGCAGUAUCCGGAACAGCCUUCGAAGGACGGCAAAAAAGGCCCGGCAAAAAUUAAAAAGAUCAAGAAAAGCCCGUUCGCAGAUGAAAAGGAAAAGUCACAGGAAAAGCUUUUGGCAGCCAACCCCUUGAUCAACGGCACCGAACACGCAGGCCUUCAUAUAGCGCUGAAAAAGAUAAUCAAACUUGACCCAGAACAUCGGCGAAAUUACGAGCAAGCAUCUCAGUUUGGCCAGGCUGUGAUACAGUGUCUACCGGAGGAAUCUGUAA
Long non-coding RNA from Uranotaenia lowii, 871 nucleotides. RefSeq lists it as uncharacterized. Lineage: Eukaryota; Metazoa; Arthropoda; Insecta; Diptera; Culicidae. The record is from RefSeq and is a predicted model, not a curated record. The transcript is spliced from 3 exons.